This 445-nucleotide ribosomal RNA is filed under the name uncultured bacterium. RNAcentral describes it as "bacterial SSU rRNA". It matches the Rfam family "Bacterial small subunit ribosomal RNA", at positions 354 to 796 of the family's 1533-position model. The record is from RNAcentral.
GUAAGGAAUAUUGGUCAAUGGAGGGAACUCUGAACCAGCCAUCCCGCGUGCAGGAUGAAGGGGCUCUGCCCUGUAAACUGCUUUUGAAUGGGACGAAAAAGCCUCACUUGUGAGGAACUGACGGUACCAUUAGAAUAAGCACCGGCUAACUCCGUGCCAGCAGCCGCGGUAAUACGGAGGGUGCAAGCGUUAUCCGGAAUCACUGGGUUUAAAGGGUGCGUAGGCGGCCUAGUAAGUCAGCGGUGAAAUCCCCCCGCCCAACGGGGGAACUGCCGUUGAUACUGCUUGGCUUGAGUUCGCCCGAGGUCGCUGGAAUGCGUGGUGUAGCGGUGAAAUGCAUAGAUAUGUCAUAGAACACCGAUUGCGAAGGCAGCUGACUGGACCUUGAUUGACACUGAGGCACGAAAGCGUGGGGAGCGAACAGGAUUAGAAACCCUAGUAGUCC